Molecule: transfer RNA, 71 nt
Filed under: Unio crassus
Lineage: Eukaryota; Metazoa; Mollusca; Bivalvia; Unionida; Unionidae
Description: tRNA-Gln
Source: RNAcentral
UAAAGGUUAGUGAACUUUAUAAACACGUAUAAAUUUGAAUUAUGAGAAGGAAUAACCACUUCCACCUUUAU